CGCCGCCGAGAUGGACUCGAGCUCGCUCAUCGACCUCAUCACCACGACUCCGGUUUCGCUGCUGGGCACGCCGGUGGCUCCGCCUCCCUCUGCUGGAUCCAGGUGCAGUGGCAGGCUUUCCAAGAAGAAUGUCGUCUUCCCGGUGCCUGUGGCAAAGCGCGCUGAACCAAGCUUCGCCUUGCGUUCGGUGAUGACACCGAUGAUGUUUCAGAUGCUGCUGCCAAGGUUCGCUCCUACCUGG
This 241-nucleotide long non-coding RNA is filed under the name Brachypodium distachyon (stiff brome). RNAcentral describes it as "long non-coding RNA (BDIS_LNC005305)". Lineage: Eukaryota; Viridiplantae; Streptophyta; Magnoliopsida; Poales; Poaceae. The record is from RNAcentral.